This 274-nucleotide ribosomal RNA is filed under the name uncultured bacterium. Its description in RNAcentral is "partial 16S ribosomal RNA". It matches the Rfam family "Bacterial small subunit ribosomal RNA", at positions 523 to 796 of the family's 1533-position model. The record is from RNAcentral.
AUACGGAGGGAGCGAGCGUUAAUCGGAAUUACUGGGCGUAAAGCGCGCGUAGGCGGCUUUGUAAGUCGGAUGUGAAAGCCCCGGGCUCAACCCGGGAAUGGCAUUCGAUACUGCAUAACUAGAGUAUGGUAGAGGGAAGUGGAAUUUCCGGUGUAGCGGUGAAAUGCGUAGAUAUCGGAAGGAACACCAGUGGCGAAGGCGACUUCCUGGGCCAAUACUGACGCUAAGGUGCGGAAGCGUGGGGAGCAAACAGGAUUAGAAACCCGAGUAGUCC